This 497-nucleotide ribosomal RNA is filed under the name uncultured bacterium. Its description in RNAcentral is "partial 16S ribosomal RNA". It matches the Rfam family "Bacterial small subunit ribosomal RNA", at positions 28 to 507 of the family's 1533-position model. The record is from RNAcentral.
GAUGAACGCUGGCGGCGCGCCUAAUACAUGCAAGUCGAGCGAACAGACGAGGAGCUUGCUCCUCUGACGUUAGCGGCGGACGGGUGAGUAACACGUGGAUAACCUACCUAUAAGACUGGGAUAACUUCGGGAAACCGGAGCUAAUACCGGAUAAUAUAUUGAACCGCAUGGUUCAAUAGUGAAAGACGGUUUUGCUGUCACUUAUAGAUGGAUCCGCGCCGCAUUAGCUAGUUGGUAAGGUAACGGCUUACCAAGGCAACGAUGCGUAGCCGACCUGAGAGGGUGAUCGGCCACACUGGAACUGAGACACGGUCCAGACUCCGACGGGAGGCAGCAGUAGGGAAUCUUCCGCAAUGGGCGAAAGCCUGACGGAGCAACACCGCGUGAGUGAUGAAGGUCUUCGGAUCGUAAAACUCUGUUAUUAGGGAAGAACAAAUGUGUAAGUAACUAUGCACGUCUUGACGGUACCUAAUCAGAAAGCCACGGCUAACUACGUG